This is a long non-coding RNA of Callithrix jacchus (white-tufted-ear marmoset), 2121 nucleotides long. RefSeq lists it as uncharacterized. The record is from RefSeq and is a predicted model, not a curated record. NCBI's taxonomy places the organism in Eukaryota, Metazoa, Chordata, Mammalia, Primates, Cebidae.
CUCCUGCCCAGCAGCACAGUUCAGAGAGAGCGACUCGUCGGGUCCUUUGCAGCCUGUGGCAAAGGCAAACUGCGGAGUUCUUAAUCAUUCAGAGGGAAUCCUCCAGCUCGCCCUGCCUCUCGCGGCAGAGGGGACCCAGGGAAAGCUCAUCUGAGGACACAGUGAGAAGAUGGCCAUCUACAAGCCAAGGAGAGAGCCCUCACCAAGAACCCAAUCACUUGGCACCUUGAUCUUGGAUUUCUAGCCUCCAAAUCUGUGAAAAAUAAAUUUCUAUUUAAGUCACACCGUUUAUGAUAUUUUGUUAUGGCAGUCCAAGCUGACCAAUACAGUGUGCAAACACAUUUCAAGUGGUUAUACUUCACAUAAUUUCAUUAUGAAAUGUCAUAUUUUUUCCCCAAUAUUACUUAGUUCUUUAAAGUUUGAUUUUUCAAAUAGUGAUGAAGGAAUGCAAUAUAAAACACAUUGUCAGUAAUUUAAUGGAAUCCUUUUUAAUUCUAUAUUUUAUCUUUCUGGGUCUACAUAUAUUUAAGUGAUGUCUCUGGUUAAAUAUAUAUAUACGUAUAUAUAUACGUAUAUAUAUAUGUCUACUUUCAAAAGGGCUAGUCUGAAAAUGUUAAUCUUUCAUUUGAGUAUGUAGAUGGUUUACACUUAGUACCAUUAUCAAUAUAAACAUUAUAUAUAGAUAGAUUUAUAUCUUACUUUGUUUUACGUUGCUGUAAGAGAAUACUCUGAGACAGAAAAUGUAUAAAGAAAAGAUGUUCUGUAGUUAGGGAAGUUCAACGGUAUGGCUUGGAUUCUGGCAAGGGAUUUUAUGCUGCCUCAUAACAUGACAGAGAAGGUUAACGGGGAAGUGGACCCAAGCAAAAAUUAAAAACUCAAAGGAUAUCCUGGCUUUAUAUCAACUCAUCCUCAUGAAAAUUAAUCCAUUGUCACAGAAACUGAUUCAGUGUCACCAGACCCACAACUUUCUCACUACAAUGAAAAGGUCAACAAGCUGUUCAUGAGAGAUUUGCUCCAGUGACUUAAACACCUCCCACGAGCUCCCACCAUCAAACAGUGCCACACUGAGGAUCAAAUUUCAACAUGAGUUUUGGUGGAGGAAAAUCAUACAUGUCUACAAUUUUACUAUUUGUUCUGUCAUUUACUCCACUUAUUGUCUCUUCUGAAUUAUUCUUCUUUUGUCAUAUGAUCAGUUUAUUCUAUGUAUACUAUUUUACUAAGUGAUUGCAAAAGAAAAUUAAAUAUAGUUGAGUCUUGAAAUAUUUUAGUCUAACAAAUUGUUUCACUAAUUCCUCAACUUUAAUCUUUCCAUUGUUUAUAUUUUUAUGCAUUUUAAUCUUCUACAAAUGAAUAUUUACCUUAUAAUUAUUAUUUCCUGCAGCCAAUAUCUAUUAUAUCUAUCUGUAUAUUUUUAUUUUCAGGUAUACUUUUUUUCCUGUGUCUUGUGCUUUUAUCUAAAAUAAUUAUUUUUAUGCCUGAACAACACACUUUAAUAUUUCUUUAAGUGCAGGUGUUUUUCAGUUUUUGCUUGUCAGAAAUAAUUUUUAUUUGGUCUCCAUUAGAAUAAUAUUUUUAUUGGAUAUGGAAUUCUUAGAACUUUGUUUCUCUACAUUUGAUAAUGAUUUCCAUUGUUGUCUGGUUUCCCAUGAUUUCUGAGAACAGUCAGCUGCCAAUGAUGCCACUGCUUCUUCUAUGGGCAGGUGUCAUUUUUUGUAGCUGCUAUUAAAAUUUUCUGUUUGGUUUUGGUUUUCUUUUCCUAAAAAAUGAUGUUCCUAAAUGUAGAUUUAUUUGUAUUCAACCUGCUCUGAGUAUAAAAAUUUUCUUGCAACAGUGGCUGGGUAUCAGUAUUUGAUUUUGGAAAACUCUUGGUCAAUAGUGUUUCAAAUGUUGCUUUUGUUCCAUUCUCUUCUGCCUUAUAGGGCUCAUAUUAAAGAUAAGUUAGGCCUUUUCAUAUUGUUUUAUAUAUCAGUAACUGUCAUUUCUCUAAUAUGUACUCUUGUUUUACUAAAUCGUUCAAUAUAAAGAAUUUCUAUUAAACUGCCUUUCAAUGUUUUUCAAUAUACUGAUUCUUAUUUUUUUCUGCUGUGUCUUUUCUGAUUAAAGUCAAUUGUUGACAUGGGA